ACGUGAGACCACCAAGUUCACUGCUUCAAGCAGCUUAGAGUCCAGAGGGCAUGGACACAUGCCGGAGCCAGGACAAGAAGAGCCACCAGAAAGAAGGCUAGGCAUUAAGGAACAGCAAGUGCAAAGUUCCUGAGGGAACAAGCAGACAGAGUCUCACUACGUUGCCCAGGCUGUUCUCCAACACUGGGCUAGUGAUCUUCCUGCCUUGGCCUCCCAAAGUGCUGGGAUUACAGGUGUGAGCUGCAAGGCUAGGUCCUCGGGCUCCUCAGGCCCUGGGCCCCCUCCCAGGAAUGAGUCCCGCCGCUCCAGCACAAAGGGGAAGAAGCCCUCGUCGCCGCUGGGAGAGGCGCCCCCUGAGAGCGGCCCGGACGGGAAGCUGGGCCCAUCUGGAGAGCUCAUGUCACCUGCAGCAUCUGCGGGGACAGGUGGCUGCGGGACACUCUACUCUGCAGCCUGACAGGGGCUCACCCUCCGCCCAGCACCUGGCCCUCCAGGAAUUCUCCACCUGCUGCCAGCCUGCCCGGUCCUGCAGCCAGGGCUUCCUGGGCCACAAAGGGUUAAUGACCUGUGUUUUGGCUACCCAGUUCCGUUAAUGUCCCUGGGGUAAACUGAGGCAGGAAGCAGAAGGAAAUGACCUGCCCAGCCUUUGGCCUCUGCCAGACAAUCUCUGUCCCCAGGAAAGCUCAUUCCAGUGCUCCAGGGCCACAGGCCACCUCUGCUCCCUGUCCCCUCUCUUCCCAGAACCCAGCAGUUUGGCUUGUAGCCCCUCGCCAUCUGAGACAGUUCCCAGAACCCAGGUUCUCAGGGACUCAGCAGUUGGAGUUGGGCCCAGCCUCUUCUCUCAGGAAUGCAGGACCCUAAGGCUUGGGAACUGAGGUAUCUUCGCCCCCAGGAAUCCAGCUCCUUCCCCUGCCAGAAGCCCAGAUCCCAGCCCCUGACCUCCCGGGUCUCUCGCCCUCAUUCUCCUGCUACCUCCUGAGCAGGUGCUUUGACUCCACCCUCCAGACUCAGAGGUCCCCACCUCCAAUGUCCCCCACCAAGGAUUCCCACCCCAGUCCCCAUUUUCCACGGGACUCAGGCAUUCAUGCCCCCACCCCUCCGGACUCAGGAGCCCUGACCCUCAGCCCCCCAGUUUCCCAGGGCCCUGGCGUGGGGCCCAGGACAGGGCGAGGUAACAGGUUGUGCCGGCCGCCCGGCCGCAGCGCGGCUCGGAGUUUCUGUUUACUUCCCGGUCCGCCCCUGGGGACGGGAGCCCUGGGCUCCCCUAGGGCGGCUCAGGGGCUGGGGUUCAGGGGCUCGGGUCAGAGGGCCCGACACAACAGCUUUACCAGCCCCAGCCCUCCGGGGGCUCACCACCCACUAGGCACACACACCCGUGCUCUCCCUCCUCCUCUCGCCCGGUGUCCAUGUGCAGCCCUGCUCGCAGGACGUGAGUGUCACGGUGGUCCCAGCCCAGCCGCCCCCAGGCCGCUCCCGGGGACCUCCCUGACUUGGCCCUCGCGGGCCCCGCUCCCCCGCCCCCCUCCACGCGAGAGACAGGGACCUGGAGACCGCUCCCCCUCCCCUUCCGCACCUAGCUGCCCAGGUGUUGGGGCCUCCAGCCCCAGGCGUCGGAAGCCCAGAGAAGCGGCUGGGCUCACCCCCGACGGCUGAGUUCCUGCCGGCGCCCCCGGUUCCCCGGCGAUCCCGGUUCCCCUGCCCCCGCCCCGGCUCCCCCACCUUCUCCGCCGACGCGGCCGGACCAGGCCCUCCCCAGGCUCGAGGGGCCCGGCCCUCGGCGUCCCCCAGGCUCUCACCCGAAGCCGCCGGGCUCCCUCCGAGGUCCCCGCGGUCUCCGGUCCCCUCUUCCGGAGGCGGCUCCAGAGAUGGGAUUUUGCUCUGUCACGCAGGCUGGAGUGCAGUGGCACCAUCACUGCAGUCUCGUCCUCCCAGGCUCAAGCGAUCCUCCCACCACAGCCUCCCCCGUAGCUGGGACUGCAGGCUGGAGUACAGUGGUGCCAUCUCAGCUCACAGCAGCCUCCGCUCCCGGGUUCAAGUGAUUCUCCUGUCUCAGCCUGCCUCCCAAAGUGCUGGGAUUACAGAGUGAGCCACCUCCCCGGCUCAACUUGUUGACUUUCAUGAUGACCUGAUGACGAGGAACUGCUGUCAUCCCCAUCUUACAGAUGAGGAAGCUGAGGCUCGGAGGCGGAGGGGGGUCCUCCACCUUGUUUGGGGUCCCCUGGUCAGAACUGGAAGACUCCAGGGCUCCCUGGGCCUCGUGACAGGGGCUCCUGGCCUGGAGAGCAGGACAGAUGGAAGGCUGGGAGCAGUGGCGUGCUGGUAAGCGUUUAACAACAGGCUCCCCGGCUAAAACAAUAGCCCUCGCUCGUUGCAUUUGCCAAUAUCCAUGAUGCAAUACCUGCUCCUCGGCUGACUUCCAGCUACUCACCUGGCGUCACGGAGUGCAGAGGUAGAAGGGGCUGUGCACAUCAGCUCUGGCUGGCUGGUGUCAGCUGGGUCCGUGCACCUCUGGCUGGGGAUCAGGACUCCUGAGUCUUGGGGGACUGGGGGCUACUUACUUGGGUUCUAGAAAAAUAGGAGGAGGGUGGGGGCUGGGACUCCUGGCUUGUGGGAAAAGGGGAGCAAGGACUCCUUGGAGGGGUGACUUAGGAACUGGGACUCCUGGGUCCUGGGGCUGGGACAGGGUUUUCUGCCAGCAGAGAGUAGGGGAGCCAGAGAUUUGUCUUACAGCCACAUUGCCCAGCAAGCCUGACACUUUCUCCCACUGCACCUGUGGGAGCAGCCUGGUAGCCACUGGAGGACUGAAGACAUCCCAGCCUCCCCUGGGUGCUGCUAUGUGACCCUCUGGAAAUAGAAGCUCAGUGUCCCCUCCAAAUGCCAGUCACCCUGGGCCCCACUCACACCCACACGUAGCACAUCUUGAGCGCCUCCUGCCAGGCUGAGCUCAUCCCAGGAUGAAGUGAUUACAGCCCUACUCCCAGAAGGUUCACAGUCCACCUGGGCCAUGGGAGGGAGCGUAGACCUAUAAACCAGAAAUGAACCAAUAAAACAGUACAGCAAA
Long non-coding RNA from Homo sapiens (human), 3061 nucleotides. NCBI's taxonomy places the organism in Eukaryota, Metazoa, Chordata, Mammalia, Primates, Hominidae. The record is from Ensembl.